CAGGAGAUAGUUUAAAAAAUAUUAAUUUUGGAGAUUAAUGAUGAAAUGAAAGAUUUCUUUCCUGA
Molecule: transfer RNA, 65 nt
Filed under: Curculionoidea sp. 13 KM-2017
Lineage: Eukaryota; Metazoa; Arthropoda; Insecta; Coleoptera
Description: tRNA-Pro
Source: RNAcentral